GAUUCCAAUGUGUAGCAAAGUAGGGCAACCACUGCCCCCAGCCAAACCUAUGGGGUGGGGCAUCUGAGAAAGCUUCCUGGAGGGGGUGCCAUGUAGGCAGAAGCCUUCAGUGCAGUGGGGGCUUGUGUGUAAACUUGGGAUGGAGGGCUGAUGGGGGUUCCUGGUGCCCAUAGAAGUUUCCAAAGGGACCAUAAUCUAGUUUGAAGACGCUGGGCUCUGGAGACAAGCCAUCUGGGUGUGAGUCACACUGCACUCUUACCGACUAGUGUGACCUCAGGCAAGUCAUCCCAACAGUAAGAAGUGAGGUUUCUUGUAUGUGCUUAAUCCUCACAGCGACCCCGUAUCUUGGGAGCUUAGUGUGACAAGACGUGACACCGGAGAGAUGGGGGAACAAAGCCGCAGAAGGCGUUAUCACCGUGCUCUUGACCUGAAGGCCCUGGGAAGCCACUGGAGAGUGUCAGUGCGGGGGAGGCGUGUGGAGAUGUGUGUGGAGAAUGUGCUAGAGAACAACAUGCCUGGAGGAGAGUCGUCAGGGAGGGGGCCCGUCGCCACCACACAGGUCAGAUGUGACGGUGGCCUGCCUGCCAGACGGAUGAUAGAAGACCUGUCAAGAUGGUGAAAUAGGCAAGACUUGAAGGUGAGGAAAUGGCCCAUUUCUGGGCUCGACAAACUGGGUGGUCUGUGUGCAGAGUUGGGGAACCCCCUACACCCAGCCCUACCACUAGGUUUCCUCUUUCUUCUGUAGACGGAGGGCUGGAGAUAGGCAUGGUCAGAGUGGGCCUUUUGACACCGUGGUGCCCCGCCUCUCCACCCCGCCUCUCCACCCCGCCACACACAUACUUCCUGACAACGGUUUGGGCAUCUUAGAGUCAUUUCUUGGCUGAAGGCUGUGAAGGCCUGUCCAGGCGGGUUGAUUUCUUGUCACUGAAUGUGUCAUGCAUGUUCUCAGCCCCAGGCCUCGGCCCAUGCCUCCCCCUCUCCUCCCUAUCAGAAUCCUGCCUUCAGUCCAUCCUCCUCCACAGACACACUCCAGGGCUUGUGUCCUUGAAGCCCUCCUAAGCACAGUGACCGUCCUGCAAAGGACAGCGCCCCAGACGUGCCACUCAGUCCUGUUGUCAGGCCUGCACCUGUGGCACCUGAAACAGAAGCACCUGGAGUCUGAGGAGGGUCUGCACACCUCUGCCUGUCCCACCAAGACUGGCCCAGUGUUUUGCCGAGCAGAUGUGCGGAUUUGUGUAUCUAGUGGUGAAGACAUGGAGGCAGAAGGAAAUGUGUUAUCACUGAGAGAAAAGAGCAUGUUGCAAAAUGCUGUCCUCUCAACUUCGUUGAAAGCAGAAAGUUAAGCAUGUGUUCGUUGAAAAGAGAUGGCAAGAAAAUGAACAUUAAUGUUUGUACUGUGCUUUGGUUUGUUUUGGUUUUCCCAACUUUUCUACAAUUGACCUGUUUAAAAUACAGUCAAUGUCAUGUUAAAGUAAAGUAAAUGUGAGGCUACUUUCUUUUUUCUUAAUUUUUUGGCCACACCGUGCAGCAUGUGAGAUCUUAGUUCCCCGACCAGGGAUCAAACCUGUGCCCCUCACUUUGGUAGCACGAAGUCUUAACCAUUGGACUGCCAGGGAAGUCCGAGGCUACUUUCUUUGCUGAAACAGUAAACUAGGGAGGGGGUAAGAGGGAAGAGUCUAGAUAAGUAUUUAGGGUGGGGUUGAUUAUAGAAGGCCUUGAAACUCAGCUAGACUGUUUAGGUUUGAUGGUCACUACAAUGGCAGUGACAAGGUCAGCAAAUUACUAUUUGCUGGGCCAAACUAGGACUGAUAAUUGGACAGAUAACAGCCUAUUUGUGGGGAUGAGAGGACAGAAUACAGUAUCUGAAACUGCAAAACUCACAGAAAAGCAUUAUCACAGUAGGAAGCCUUAUGGAGUCCUUAAGGGAGUGAUACUCAUUUGCUGAUUCAUUCGUUCAGUCGAGUAUCAUUUAUGAAGCCCUAUCUGUAUGCCAGACACUGUGCUAUGUGCCUGAUGCAAUUAGGUCCUUUGAGAGCUGAGUGCAGGACACACUAGAAGAUAACAUGGGGAUAAAAUGUCCUAUUAGAUGGUCCCUGCAAAUCUAGGUGAGAUGCUCUGAGUCUCAGGAGUUGGGGUGGUGAGAAUCGAAAUUCUAGUGAUACUUAGAGGUCGUCUUUGCUUGCCUUGCAGUUGCACUAAGGUUCUUUUUCAGCACUUCGAACAGGGCAGAGGGCACAGCAGGCGCUCAACAAACAUGUGGCAAGUAAAUCAGAAUGUGGUGGAAGAAGGGCUUGCAGUCACUUCAUGUAUACAGUCAUCUCUGUAUCCGGGGGGAUGCUCAAAUCUCUUACAUAAAAUGGUGUAGUAAUUGCAUAUAACCUACGAACAUCCUCCCAUAUAUUUUAAAUCAUCUCCAGAUCACUUAUAAUACCUAAUACAACUUAAAUGUUAUGUAAAUAGUUGUAAAUAAAAUAUAUUUAAAUAGUUGCUAGGUGUGUGGCAAAUUCAAGUUUUGCCUUUUGGAACUUUCUGGAAAUUUUUUUUCAAAUAUUUUGAUCAGCAGUUGGUUGAAUUUGAGGAUGUGGAGCCUGAGAAUAUGAAGGACUGACUGUAGUUAGCUCAUUGCUAGUCAUGCUGGUAUAGAAAUGGCUACUGGGAAUAUUCCUAUGGAUCACUGUGAAAGGUGCAGGGCCAGAGAUUGUAUCACACUAAGUGUGUCCCCUGAGCCUGGGCUGUGAACACGUGGGCACUGUAGGAGAAUAAACUUUGAAAUGAUGAAGCCGGAAGCUAGUCCGGGGAACAUUCUUCUGAUCUUCAAAUGCAUAAAAUCAAAAACUUUUGUUCUUAUCAACUCCUAUUCAAAAUGGAAGUGCAAUCCUAGAAUUGAUAAAGAUUCUCUCCUUGACCAAACUCUAGUCAGGCUCCUCUGAAUUCCCUUAUCAACCAGGCCCUGACUAUUGGGCUUCUGUGUUUGUCUCUGCAUUGCCCGGUUUUAACAAGAAUCCUACUAUGUCAGUCAGUUUAGCCAGAAUCUGCCCCUCCUUAUUUGAUCACCCUCCUCCUCCAGCAUCCGCCAGUGAUGUCUGAUCACCCUGUCCUGCCUUCAGCGAGAAACCCCUCCCCCUGAUGCUUCCCCUUAGUAAUUGUCCAUCCACUGACCACCACUCUGUUCCUUGGCUAUCAAUCCCACUUUCCUUGCUGUAUUCAGAGUUGAGCCUGAUCUCUCUCCCUUCUACAAACCCCAUUGUAGUAGCCAGCCCCCCUUGAAUAAAGUCUUCCUUACCAUCUUUAACAAGUUUCAUGAAUAAUGAUUUUUUUAACGUAAUACACACUCUUUUUCAAAAUGGGAAUCACAUGAAAUAGAAUUUAUCAGAUUUUUUGUGUUUAAUUUUUUGGCUGAUUUGAACAAGAAAACUUGAAAUGCCCUGAAUUCCUAUAGUUUACAUACAAAAGAAACUGAUAGAGGUUUUCCCCAAAUUUAGCAACAAUCCCAAACGUUUACAUGACAAUACCAAUAAUAAUUUGUGAAUGUGAACAUUUUCUAAACUAUCCAUAAUCAAAAAACAAGUUUGGAUCAGCCACGUUAGAGGAAAGACUAGGCUAUGUUUCCAUUUUCUCUGUGGCAAACAAAACAGUUACAGAAUUGUCUCAGGAAGAGGUAUUCAAAGAGUAUACAGCCAAAAAAAGAUAGAAGUACAGUAGAGGGACUUCCCUGAUGGUCUAGUGGUUAAGACUCUUCGCUCCCAAUGCAGGGGGGUCCGGGUUCGAUCCCUGGUCAGGGAAUUAGAUCCUGCAUACAUGCUGCAACUAAAGAUCCCGUGUGCCGCAACUAAGACCUGGCGCGGCCAAAUAAAUUAAAAAAAAAAAAAAAAAGUACAAUAGAGGUGGAUUGGGCUGGAAAUUAAUUAAAAUGUUAUGUUAUUUUUCUGGAUUUUGUGAUGUUUGUGGUACUUCUCGGCUUUUUUUUCCUUUUUCUUUUUUGGCUGCACCGUGUGGCAUGCAGGAUCUUAGUUCCCCAACCAGUGAUCAAACCCAUGUUCCCUGCAGUGGAAGCACAGAGUCUUAACCACUGGACGGCCAGGGAAGUCCCCUCUUGGCUUUUUAAUAUUUGUAAUUUAGUAUGCUUUUUUCCUCAUUCUAGAUAAAUUUUCAGGUUUGUACUCAUUUUAAUUGUGUUUUUGUUAUUUUGUAUUCUUUUUCUUACAGAGCCCCCCCUUCAACCAAAACAAACGUACAAACAAAUAAAAUAACCACCCUGUGUAAGCUUCAGGCCCCUCUGUCCCUGCCCCACAGAUGCAUGACUUUGUGACUCUCGUUGGGCCUCCGUGUCUUUCCUCCCAGUGAGGGCUGUUGCCCUGAGCUUCCACCAGACACUCUUCCAGGGAGAAUUAAGGGAUGAGCUAGAUAAUCCGGCCGUCAGGCCUCACACCUGCACAGGCAAAGCACAAGACAUCCAGUAUUUCAUCUGAUCCUUACUGCAAACCAUUUGAAAUAAAACCCAAUUUUUAAUUAUGGAAAUGUUCACAUUUACGCAUAAGUAGGUGGAAUAACUCCAGUCCAUGCUAUGGGCUGGGCUUGGUGAGGUGAGGGGAGCGCUGGGCUAGGCAUGGGGGCCAGAAGUUAAAUCUCUACGGGCUGAAUCCUCUUUCUCUGCACCCCCUGCCCAUGCUUCUUGGUGCUGGGCAUGUGUGAUUAUGUGGUCACAUCUGCACACUUCUGCCUGGCUUGGAAAUGGGCAGAACCUCUGGUCUAUGGGAAAGGUGCAAGAAGCUGCAGCAGCCUUGGGGCUCCUUCAAAACAUGAGAUGGGAUUGAGGCUGCUUCUCCCAGGGGCCUGAUGGGCACAGGUCCCCCGGCGGCAGGCCUGGGGACCGGCAGGGACAGCACUGGAAUCACUGGGGGAGCUUUUGCCACUUAUGUGCUGUGCACCUCAAACAAGCCUAUGCUGAUACAGGCCGGAGAAGGGAGAGGACAGGGACAUUUUGGAAAAGUUCGCAGGCAAAUCUGAUACCCACCCACUUUCCGGAUGAGAACCAUGGCCUGAGGGGCUCAUGGGAGUAAAUGGGAGCCUGCAGGGGCCCAGACCUGCUCACCACUGAAUGGGACCACCCGCCCCUAGAGGAGCAUGGAGUAGAGCUGAAAGCCAGACCGCCUGGGGUGAACGGCUGACCCACCUCCUCGCUAGCCAUUUGACCCUGGCAAGUCGCUUGACCUUGGAAUCUGCCUGCUUAUCUAAAAAAUGGAAAUAAUCGAAGCACCUUACCUUAAAUGUGAUAAUGCACAUAAAGCACUUAGCACCUGAAGAAUUAGACACGUACCGCUCAAAAAUGUUAGGCGCGCUAACAUAAAUUUCCUUCGUUGACAUCAGCCACGGGUGAAGAGAAAGGUGUAAGUGGCGGGCUCUUCUCCCUCCUUCACAUCGAGGGGGCAGGAGGCAAGAUGCCAAAGGCCAGAGGCCAGAGGCUCAUCCUGAAAUCCAGUCCAGCUGGAAUCUCCUUUCAGCUCUGCUGGGACCACCCUCUGUUGUCUGAAGCUGGGGAGGUGAGUUUGGGGGAUGAGUCUCCGUGUCAUCCAUGCCCAUCCCUUCUGCGGGCAGCAGGGGGCUGUCCCAGGAGUGGGGAGAGCCCACAGACAGUCUUCCCUUGUCAGCCGGAACAGGUGGGAAGACUGGAACCAGAGGAGCGACCUGGGCUGGGGCGUGAGGGGUGGGGGGAACGGUGGAGGAGGCAGAGCUCUUCACGGGCGUCCCCUUCUCCCCUUUUCCCUCUUGUCUGGCAGCCCCACCCCCGGCGCUCAGGUCUGCACACUACCAAAGUGCCCGCUCAGGAGGAAAGGGCCUUAAACUCAUUUCAUGAAGAUGUCAAGGCCCAGAUGCAUUUCAUCGAAGACCAGGCGACGCCUUGGAGUGAUUUUCAAAUGGCAGCAGAAGCCUUUCUUCAAACGCUCUCACUCAAGUGCUCAGACUGGGGAGGGACUGGAGGACUGGCACCCUCCCCGUGGUGCCUCUGGGGGCCCCUAGGGCUGAGGGAGCGAGUUCUACGAGGGAAGGUCUCCUCAGCCAUGAGGCCCACUCUGCGCCCUCCCCUCCUGAAGCCAGUCAGGGCAGGGUCAGCACUUGAUCGGUACUCUGUCCCCUACUCCUGUUGGGCCCUUGGCAGGCGGGCAGUAGGGAGUGAGGCAUGGCCUUCUUCGAUGCGCACCCUGCCAGGCAGCUCCUGGCCCGUGAGGCCCUCCUGGAUGCUUGGACCCACGUGGACCCAGCGCCAGGCCUUCUCUGCCCCACACCCUGGGGUCAGAAGGCCAGCGCCUCUGAAAUUAAUCCCAGCUUAAUUAGCUGGACUUGGACACAUGGCAGCCACAGCAGCCAUUUGGUAAUGCGGCUAAGGAGCUGCACCCUCCUGGAGAUCAGAUGAGACAAAUCUAAUGUCCAAAGGCCUCCGGCUGUGCCCUUUCAGAUAACUUACCGCUCCCACCCUGCCGCUGGGCGCUCACGGGUCCUGUGUGCUGGCCACCAGGUUCCCUGUUCUAUCCUCAGAUGUGUGUGAUUCCUCCCUGCACGCGGCAGUCACAAGUAACAGAUUUGAUGUACAGACAGCCAAAUGGAGGCGCUUAAAACAGAGCCGAGAGAAAAAAGUCAGAGAGGGAGAUCCGUAACACAACCCAUUUGCAUUCAUUAAAAUUAUAUGGGGCCCAAACAAGAAGGUACAUGUGUAAAAAAUACAAAAUCUGCUAGAAAGUUGCCCUAUGCAGAGGAGACAGAGGGAGAAGACAGUGGGACCCAGAGGAGAUGAGAGAGACGGAGAAAUGGAUUUCUUUUUUUUUUUUUUUUUUUUUUUUUGUGGUACGCGGGCCUCUCACUGUCGUGGCCUCUCCCGUUGCGGAGCGCAGGCUCCGGACGCGCAGGCUCAGCGGCCAUGGCUCACGGGCCCAGCCGCUCCGCGGCAUGUGGGAUCCUCCCGGACCGGGGCACGAACCCGUGUCCCCUGCAUCGGCAGGCAGACUCUCCACCACUGCGCCACCAGGGAAGCCCAGAAAUGGAUUUCUAUUGUGUUCAAGCCCCUCCACAUCUCAGUGGUGUAAAGAACACUGGGGCCUGCCCAGCUGCACCGCAAAGAACACCAGCACCAAGAAGAGGAAGAGUGACGACACCGAUGCCAAGGCGACCACCAGAGGGCUAUCGGUUACCAGGGUGUAGUAAUUCUCUACAGAUGGCUUCAGGACAAAGGGGAGAUUGUCUUGGAUGGAGCACACCAUCUUUGUAUUGUGCCCUGAAUCUCUGUCUCGAA
Long non-coding RNA from Physeter macrocephalus (sperm whale), 7285 nucleotides. RefSeq lists it as uncharacterized. The record is from RefSeq and is a predicted model, not a curated record. The transcript has 3 exons. NCBI's taxonomy places the organism in Eukaryota, Metazoa, Chordata, Mammalia, Artiodactyla, Physeteridae.